Long non-coding RNA from Mastomys coucha (southern multimammate mouse), 314 nucleotides. RefSeq lists it as uncharacterized. Lineage: Eukaryota; Metazoa; Chordata; Mammalia; Rodentia; Muridae. The record is from RefSeq and is a predicted model, not a curated record. The transcript is spliced from 2 exons.
GGUCAGAGACUGGGUAGGAACAAUUCAUAAGAGACUUCUGAUUAUGCUGAAGAAAGAGAAGAUGCUAGGGAUCAGGGAAUCUCUGUGGAAGAAGAGACAGAAACAAUGUGGGAGCCAGAGGAGAUGGAGGACACCACGAGAACAAAGCUCUCUACAUCAGCAACAGGAUUGAUGCACACAUGAGCUCACAGAGACCGAGGCAGCAUGCACAGGGCCUAUGCCAGGUGUUGGUCCUAAAGCUGAAGGAGACAUGGACACAUAUUCCCAUCCCUAACCCAGAAGCUAUCUCUAAUAGAUAACUAUUAUAAACAAAA